Molecule: long non-coding RNA, 1285 nt
Filed under: Accipiter nisus (Eurasian sparrowhawk)
Lineage: Eukaryota; Metazoa; Chordata; Aves; Accipitriformes; Accipitridae
Description: lncRNA (ENSANIG00000006593.1)
Source: RNAcentral
CCCAAGAUGUCUAGAGCUUUUGAGAGCUUUUAACUACAACUUCAUCAGUGGCUGUAUGCUGUAUACAAUUACCAUGUAAAUUGGAACACCUCCAUUAACAGCAGAAAAACACAGCUCUGAUUGUUCCACCUAAUGAGCUAGCAAAGGCAGAUCCUCAGAGAGCACAGCGAACUGACAACAGCACACAAUAAUUAAACAGGUAGUACUGUUUGCAGUCACAUAUACCUCUUAUUCCUGAUUAGGAUGACAGAGUGUUCUUGUCCAUCACUGUAUGUUGCAUUAGCAGACCGAAGAAUUACUUUUCUAGUACUUGCUCUGUCUCCAGCAUUAACAUGCACUGCAAGAUGACCGUCGAUCAGCGUGAUGGAAAAGGCCAAAUGUGCUUGUCUACGUCGUCGCUUUUCCAGUCCCCUGCUGAGUCCAGCAAGGAUGAUGCCAUUGCUGUUCUUUGUAGCAAAAGUUGCCAUCAGUUCCGAUUCUGGGCUUAAGGACUUAGGUACCAACUCAAUAUAUCCAUUGUUCAAGAUGUUCACACUACGAAUAGGCUAUUUUAUGAGGAAGAGAAAUGAUUACUGAGUUUGCCCCUACAUAGCACCCAGUGAGAAAAAAAAAGUAUAGAUUAGAUUAUCUUAGAAUUUUUCAAGAUAAACCCUUUUUACCUCACUAUAUUCUUUCACAAACAUUACUAUUCAUUGUUCAAUAACAAUAAAGAUCAUGUCAGAAAACCCAAAAGUCUCCUACCUCCAAUACACAGCCUUUUCUUACUCCAUAUGAAUUUCUAAGCAAGUCAAAGGUUGAACGGGAUAUUUCUAGAUUCUUGAUACAUCCUAUGUACAUUCUACUAUUAAGACCUUUCCUGAAACACAAAACAAGGGUUUUUUUCCAAGGAGCAGUAUUUGGAAUCUCCUAGGAGAAAAGAUUAAGUUUUCUUCAAUAAGAAAGAGAGAUCUGUUUUAAAGAAUGCAGUCACCCCAGUAAAAGUGCAAACAGCAGUAAUCUGGGUUUUUACUCUUAGCAGAUAUUAAUUCUGAUCUUAAAAAGAGUCAGAUAACAUUGUCCCCAUAUGGAAACAUAUAAUUGUGUAGUGCUGUGUUGCCAGGCCAGGUCAUUUUCCAAAACUGAGGUGAAUCCUCAGCUGAAAUGUAACGGCUUGUAUGAGAGAGGGUAACUGUAGCUCUCUACUACCUAGCAAUUCUUUUUCAUUUCUUAAGUCUGGAGGAUCCCUAAUUUGGUUCCAGAUUUAACUCAGAGAAAUCUAAGGCUGUCCUGCCAUAAUCCCUUACAG